Callithrix jacchus (white-tufted-ear marmoset) is the source of this 498-nucleotide non-coding RNA. The record is from RefSeq and is a predicted model, not a curated record. NCBI's taxonomy places the organism in Eukaryota, Metazoa, Chordata, Mammalia, Primates, Cebidae.
CUUGUGUCACAUUUAAAGAGGUUACCUCAGCCCUUCUGAAACCUGCGACUGGGCUCAGGCAGAAGGGACUUACUUUAUCUCAGAUGGGACUUUGGACUUGGACUUUUGAAUUAAUGCUGGAAUGAAUUAAGACUUUGCAGGACUGCUGGAAGGCCAUGAUUGUAUUUUGAAAUGUGAUGACAUGAGAUCUGGUUUUGGCUGUGUGCCACCAAAAUCUUAUCUUGAAUUAUAGUUCUCAUAAUCCCCAAGUGUCAUAAGAGGGACCCGGUGGAAGAUAAUUGAGUCUUGGAGGUGGAUACCCCCAUGCUGCUGUUCUUGUGAUACUCAGUGAGGUGUCACAAGAUCGGAUGGUUUCCCCCUUUAGCUCAUUCUUAUCUCUCCUGCUACCAUGUAAAGAAGGAUGUAUUUGUUUCCCUUUCUGCCAUGAUUGUAAGUUUCCUGAGGCUUACAGCCCUGCAGAACUGUGAGUCAAUUAAACCCUGUUUUCUUUAUAAAUUA